ACAGAGAUAGCUUGCUAUCUGCUGACGAGCGGCGGACGGGUGAGUAAUGCUUGGGAAUAUGCCUUAUGGUGGGGGACAACAGUUGGAAACGACUGCUAAUACCGCAUAACGUCUACGGACCAAAGGGGGGGAUGCUUCGGCACCUCCCGCCAUUUGAUUAGCCCAAGUGAGAUUAGCUAGUAGGUGAGGUAAGAGCUCACCUAGGCGACGAUCUCUAGCUGGUUUGAGAGGAUGAUCAGCCACACUGGGACUGAGACACGGCCCAGACUCCUACGGGAGGCAGCAGUGGGGAAUAUUGCACAAUGGGCGAAAGCCUGAUGCAGCCAUGCCGCGUGUGUGAAGAAGGCCUUCGGGUUGUAAAGCACUUUCAGCGAGGAGGAAAGGUUAGUGGUUAAUAGCAACUAGCUGUGACGUUACUCGCAGAAGAAGCACCGGCUAACUUCGUGCCAGCAGCCGCGGUAAUACGAGGGGUGCAAGCGUUAAUCGGAAUUACUGGGCGUAAAGCGUGCGUAGGUGGUUUGUUAAGCAAGAUGUGAAAGCCCUGGGCUCAACCUGGGAACUGCAUUUUGAACUGGCAAGCUAGAGUUUUGUAGAGGGUAGUGGAAUUUCCAGUGUA
RNAcentral lists this ribosomal RNA (616 nucleotides) under uncultured bacterium. Its description in RNAcentral is "bacterial SSU rRNA". It matches the Rfam family "Bacterial small subunit ribosomal RNA", at positions 69 to 677 of the family's 1533-position model. The record is from RNAcentral.